AUUGCUUCUGUUUACACUAAUGUAAACAGUGUGUUGAAAAAGGCAAUUCUUGCUGUAUAUAAAUGAAUGUUUCAACUGUUGAACCUAUUUUCAGAGGAAAAGAGAAAGCACAUGUCAGAUAAGGGGCGGAUGGAAAGGAUGGAAAUAUAUAUAACAUGAUAUGUACAACGCAAGGAUCAGUAGAGCCUCUUCCUCUGGAUAUAUAUUUUCUUUUCUUCAGUGCAACAGAACCACUGCAGUGAAUGGUAGCUUGGAUAUCGCUGUAAGAAUACUGCAUUUCAUUAAUCUGAAUAGAAUACGUGAAGACGGCCUGCUGCAUUGAGGCUAUUGAUUGAGACUGAUUGGAAGGUGC
This is a non-coding RNA of Pelobates cultripes (western spadefoot toad), 352 nucleotides long. The record is from the annotation of a GenBank genome assembly. Lineage: Eukaryota; Metazoa; Chordata; Amphibia; Anura; Pelobatidae.